AUGACAGAUUUAGGUCUUGUUCAUCACUUUUUAGGUAUUGUUGUUAUCCGUGACUCUUCUGGUCUUUUCUUGUCUCAACGGCAGUACACUCUGGAUCUUCUUUCUCGUGCUGGUAUGCUUGAUUGUCAAACUUCUCAUACCCUGUUGAUACAGGUUCCAAACUCUCUGCCGACGGUGAUCCUUUCUCUGAUCCUUCUCUUUAUCAUAGUCUUACCGGUGCACUUCGGUAUCUCACUCUCACUCGCCCUAAAAUUUCUUUUGUUGUUCAACAAGCUUGUUUAUACAUGCAUGAUCCUCGUGUUUCACACUACAAUCAUGUCAAACGUAUUCUUCGAUAUCUCAAAGGCACACUAA
Molecule: ribosomal RNA, 354 nt
Filed under: Triticum aestivum (bread wheat)
Lineage: Eukaryota; Viridiplantae; Streptophyta; Magnoliopsida; Poales; Poaceae
Description: partial small subunit ribosomal RNA
Source: RNAcentral